UGAGGAAUAUUGCGCAAUGGGCGAAAGCCUGACGCAGCAACGCCGCGUGGAUGAUGAAGUUCUUCGGAAUGUAAAGUCCUUUUGUAGAGGAAGAAUAUCCCGGUUUACCGGGACUGACGGUACUCUGCGAAUAAGCCACGGCUAACUCUGUGCCAGCAGCCGCGGUAAUACGUAGGGUGCAAGCGUUAUUCGGAAUUACUGGGUGUAAAGGGAGUGUAGGCGGGAGAGUAAGUUAGAAGUGAAAUGUACGGGCUCAACCUGUAACGUGCUUUUAAUACUGCUUUUCUUGAGUGUUGGAGAGGUAGAUGGAAUUCCAGGUGUAGCGGUGAAAUGCGUAGAUAUCUGGAGGAACAUCAGUGGCGAAAGCGGCUUCCUGGUCCAACAUUGACAUUCGGGUGCGAAAGCGUGGGGAGCAAACAGG
Molecule: ribosomal RNA, 421 nt
Filed under: uncultured bacterium
Lineage: Bacteria
Description: bacterial SSU rRNA
Rfam family: Bacterial small subunit ribosomal RNA
Source: RNAcentral